RNAcentral lists this ribosomal RNA (432 nucleotides) under uncultured bacterium. RNAcentral's name for it is "bacterial SSU rRNA". It matches the Rfam family "Bacterial small subunit ribosomal RNA", at positions 338 to 787 of the family's 1533-position model. The record is from RNAcentral.
CCUACGGGGGGCAGCAGUGGGGAAUAUUGCACAAUGGAGGAAACUCUGAUGCAGCGAUGCCGCGUGAGGGAAGAAGGUUUUCGGAUUGUAAACCUCUGUCUUAAGGGACGAUAAUGACGGUACCUUAGGAGGAAGCUCCGGCUAACUACGUGCCAGCAGCCGCGGUAAUACGUAGGGAGCGAGCGUUGUCCGGAAUUACUGGGUGUAAAGGGAGUGUAGGCGGGAUGGUAAGUUAGGUGUGAAAUGCGGAGGCUCAACCUCCGAGCUGCACUUAAAACUGCUGUUCUUGAGUGAAGUAGAGGUUGGCGGAAUUCCCAGUGUAGCGGUGAAAUGCGUAGAUAUUGGGAGGAACAUCAGUGGCGAAGGCGGCCAACUGGGCUUUUACUGACGCUGAGGCUCGAAAGCGUGGGGAGCAAACAGGAUUAGAUACCC